This 205-nucleotide small RNA is filed under the name Arabidopsis thaliana (thale cress). Its description in RNAcentral is "ATSL101280". The record is from RNAcentral. Lineage: Eukaryota; Viridiplantae; Streptophyta; Magnoliopsida; Brassicales; Brassicaceae.
AAUCUACUUGAUGAGAUUGGCCAACUUCGUGAUUCUUUCUUUCUUUCUCGUUUUAUAAUAUUGUUCGCUCUUGUAGUUUUUAUGCAGAUUGUCUAGUUCGUUACUCUAAAUUUUAUACUUUAUAAAUCUUAUUUGUAAACUAUUUUCCUCCAAAAUGGGCUAUCAAUCGUAGAGUGAUUUUCUAAAUUAAUAUGUUCUUGACAUA